RNAcentral lists this unclassified non-coding RNA (87 nucleotides) under Pseudomonas frederiksbergensis. The record is from RNAcentral. Lineage: Bacteria; Pseudomonadati; Pseudomonadota; Gammaproteobacteria; Pseudomonadales; Pseudomonadaceae.
GUGGGAGCGAGCCUGCUCGCGAUGACUUCGUGUCAGUCAACAUCACUGUUGAAUGAUCCACCCUUUCGCGAGCAGGCUCGCUCCCUC